This 843-nucleotide small RNA is filed under the name Bartramia breutelii. RNAcentral describes it as "eukaryotic LSU rRNA". The stretch from base 369 to 521 matches the Rfam family "5.8S ribosomal RNA". Lineage: Eukaryota; Viridiplantae; Streptophyta; Bryopsida; Bartramiales; Bartramiaceae. The record is from RNAcentral.
UCAUUGCACACACACGAAUGUUGCAGCAAACCCCGGUUUAGGCGAACUAACACAUUGUCCCCGCAAAACUUGCGUCCCGGACGCGGGUCGGGCCUCCUUUCUGCUUCGGGGGUUCCUUCCUUCGCAUUUCUCCCGCCUCCCGCCCCUCUCCCUCGCGGGGGUUGGGUUGGGGCGCGGGGGACUUGGGUCGGAGGGGGCCGCGCGAGCUCGAACGCGGAAAGGGGGUCCCGGCCCCCGCGCCCGGCGACCACCACAUUUCGGAUUGCGCGAUGCGUGAACACUUUGGCGUACGACUGAGUCCCUUUAUUGACACUCUGGGAGGAGGAGGGGUUCUCCCUCCCGAGUUGUUUUGGAACAUAACCGAAAACAACUCUCAGCAACGGAUAUCUUGGCUCUUGCAACGAUGAAGAACGCAGCGAAAUGCGAUACGUAGUGUGAAUUGCAGAAUUCCGCGAAUCAUCGAGUCUUUGAACGCAAGUUGCGCCCGAGGCUCGUCCGAGGGCAUUUCCGCUAGAGCGUCACCGCGCUCCCCCACCGACCCUCUAAACCGCCGGGUCUCGUACUCGGCGGGGAGUGGAGGUCGAGUGGAAGUGGCCGUCCCGAUGGGGGGCGGCGCGGCGCGCCUCAGAAACGCGCCCGCCGUCGAUCGGGUCGGCUGAAAUGGAGGGAAUUUGGCCGCCGUGGUGACGGAGCCCGCGAUCAGGUGAUCCGGGGGUAAAAGCCCGGAGCUCGAACGUGCGAGGCUCUGCGUCGCCCAGUGUCGGAUUCCCUUGCACAAUGAAAUGCAGGUCUGUGUGUUCGGUCCCGGAAAGGAAGGCGAACACGCCCGAGUCACGCAUCGGA